UGGGGAAUAUUGGACAAUGGGGGCAACCCUGAUCCAGCCAUGCCGCGUGAGUGAUGAAGGCCUUAGGGUUGUAAAGCUCUUUCACCCGGGACGAUAAUGACGGUACCGGGAGAAGAAGCCCCGGCUAACUUCGUGCCAGCAGCCGCGGUAAUACGAAGGGGGCUAGCGUUGUUCGGAAUCACUGGGCGUAAAGCGCACGUAGGCGGACCGUUAAGUCGGAGGUGAAAUCCUGGGGCUCAACCCCAGAACUGCCUUCGAUACUGGCGGUCUCGAGUCCGGAAGAGGUGAGUGGAACUGCCAGUGUAGAGGUGAAAUUCGUAGAUAUUGGCAAGAACACCAGUGGCGAAGGCGGCUCACUGGUCCGGUACUGACGCUGAGGUGCGAAAGCGUGGGGGGCAAACAGGAUUAGAUACCCUGGUAGUCCACGCCGUAAACGAUGAAUGCCAGCCGUCGGGCAGCAUGCUGUUCGGUGGCGCAGCUAACGCUUUAAGCAUUCCGCCUGGGGGAGUACGGUCGCAAGAUUAAAACUUAAAUGAAUUGAC
This 542-nucleotide ribosomal RNA is filed under the name uncultured bacterium. Its description in RNAcentral is "partial 16S ribosomal RNA". It matches the Rfam family "Bacterial small subunit ribosomal RNA", at positions 355 to 914 of the family's 1533-position model. The record is from RNAcentral.